UCUGAGGAAGUGACUAACACCCAACCCCCUUGAUAAGAGACAGAACUUCUCAUGGGCAGACAGCGGCUAAUCAGGAGCAGCCAGAGAGCACCUGCAUACUGCGCUGCCGCCUCCACAAAGCCAUGCUGUGGACCUGUCCCCUCCUCUACCUCGCCACCUUCUGUGCCGAGGUCUCAUUGGAUAUCCUUUUGGAACCAGACACCAAAACCCUGACUGUUCUAGUCGGGGAGACUGCCACCUUGCGCUGCAGCGUAUCAGGAGGGGACUUGAAGAACUAUCAGGACAGAUGAGAACAUGAAGUUCUCAGAACCUGAGACAGGCAUGGGGUGAGGAUGAAAAACAGAGCCUGUAGCCAAGGAAGAGGGACAUCUUGGGAGAAAACAAGCAGCCUGCCCAGCAAUGAUCUGCGAGAGUCUGAGCACAAAACAGUGAAAAAGGAAACCGAACAUAAAUUAAAAUUAGAGACCAGGGGGGCGCCUGGGUGGCUCAAUCGUUAAGUGUCUGCCUUCAGCUCAGGUCAUGAUCCCAGGGUCCUGGGAUCGAG
Molecule: long non-coding RNA, 544 nt
Organism: Zalophus californianus (California sea lion)
Lineage: Eukaryota; Metazoa; Chordata; Mammalia; Carnivora; Otariidae
Exons: 3
Source: RefSeq, a predicted model, not a curated record